This 938-nucleotide long non-coding RNA is filed under the name Salmo salar (Atlantic salmon). Its description in RNAcentral is "lncRNA (ENSSSAG00000108712.1)". Lineage: Eukaryota; Metazoa; Chordata; Actinopteri; Salmoniformes; Salmonidae. The record is from RNAcentral.
AUCACAUUGGUAUUUUAACAGUGUUAUUGUAAGAGUUUAAAUGUUUAAACAGAGGAUACAUCUAAAACAGGAUAAAACAAGUGCAGUAUGUUCUGAGAAUGUUACUGUUUGUCCAGUGUGUGUGUGUGUGUGUUUGUCCAGUGUGUGUGUGUGUGUGUUUGUCCAGUGUGUGUGUGUGUGUGUGUUGUGUGUGUGUGUGUGUGUGUGUUUGUCCAGUGUGUGUGUGUGUGUGUGUUUGUCCAGUGUGUGUGUGUGUUUGUCCAGUGUGUGUGUGUGUGUGUGUGUGUUUGUCCAGUGUUUGUGUGUGUGUUGUGUGUGUGUGUGUGUUUGUCCAGUGUGUGUGUGUGUGUGUUUGUCCAGUGUGUGUGUGUGUGUGUGUUUGUCCAGUGUGUGUGUGUGUGUGUGUUUGUCCAGUGUGUGUGUGUGUGUGUGUGUGUGUCCAGUGUGUGUGUGUGUGUGUGUGUUGUGUGUGUGUGUGUGUGUCCAGUGUGUGUGUGUGUGUGUGUGUGUGUAUUUUUGUUUGACCAGUGUGUGUGUGUGUGUGUGUGUGUGUGUGUGUGUGUGUGUGUCCAGUGUGUGUGUGUGUGUGUGUGUGUGUGUCCAGUGUGUGUGUGUGUAUGUGUGUGAGUGUGUGUGUGUUUUCGUUUGUCCAGUGUGCGUGUGUCCAGAAUGUGUUUGUGUGUGUUUGUUCAGUGUGUGUGUUGAGUGUGUGUGUCCAUUUUGUGUCCAGUUUGUGUGUGUUCAGUGUGUGUUCAGUGUGUGUGUGUGUGUGUGUGUGUCCAGUGUGUGUGUGCCCAGUUUGUGUGUCCAGUGUGUGUGUGUGUGUUUGUGUGUGUUUGUGUGUGUGUGUUUGUGUGUGUGUCCAGUGUGUGUGUGUGUGUGUGUGUGUGUGUGUUUGUCCAGUGUGUGUGUGUGUGUGUGUGUGUGUGUGUGUGUGU